UCCCAGGCACAGCAGGGACAGGGUGACAGGUGGUGAGCCGCCGAAGCCCGUCAUCCCGAAGAGAGAGGAAAGUAAAGGCCCAUCGCAUGGGGCCUGAGGGACCCCACCUCCCGGCUCAGCAGCAGGGGGAUGAGGGAAGAGAAGGGACACCAGGCAGAGGCCUCCUCCCUCCCUCCCUCCCUGAGGACAGUGAUGGUAAAUCUGGGAGCCCAGCGAGGAGCCUCCCGGAGACUCGGGACUCGGGGGCUGGCAGCUGGACCGGGGUGGCGGCGGCAGGCGGAGAGAAGUAGCUGCAAUCAGGAUGCAGCUUGAGAGAAGAAACAGCAGGACUGUCUGGCAGAUGGGGAAACUGAGGCCCUAGGACUGGCCCUGCCUCCUGCCUCCCCUCAGGGCUCACCCCAGGGUCUGGCACAGGAUUCAAACCCAGGGUGAACUCCGUGUUCCCACUGCCCCCCGCCCUCCUGUCCUGAGCUGUGGCCUCUCAGACAAUCCCUGGGGCCCUGCUCCCCAGCCCUGGCCACACCCCCGGGCUGUCUCCCUGCUUGGAACCCCAGUUUCUCCGUCUGUCAAGUGUGUGUUCCCCUUGUGUGUUCACUGAGAUUUGCCUGGUCUGUGCUUCCGAGCUUUUCUGACUGCAAUCUGCAGGGAGAGCUGCACCCCGUUUACGUGUGCUCCACAGGUAACGUGUGUGUUGUUCGGAUGCACGUGUGUAUAUAAACUGUG
Choloepus didactylus (southern two-toed sloth) is the source of this 723-nucleotide long non-coding RNA. RefSeq lists it as uncharacterized. The transcript is spliced from 3 exons. The record is from RefSeq and is a predicted model, not a curated record. Lineage: Eukaryota; Metazoa; Chordata; Mammalia; Pilosa; Megalonychidae.